Acromyrmex echinatior (Panamanian leafcutter ant) is the source of this 897-nucleotide long non-coding RNA. NCBI's taxonomy places the organism in Eukaryota, Metazoa, Arthropoda, Insecta, Hymenoptera, Formicidae. The record is from RefSeq and is a predicted model, not a curated record.
GAAAAAGAUCGAGAAGAAGCGGAACGAAGAAAAUUUUGAUUAGUCGCAAAUAGUUCAUCAUAGAGAAACAUAUCGUAAAAGAUCUAAAGAGUUUUAUCUUUUAAAAAAAAAAAAAGAAAAUUUUGGUUUGUACAAAUUGUUUAGCGUAGAGAAUACGUUGUACGAGUUUUUUAAAAGUUUUAUUUAAAAUGAUAUAUAUUCAGUGUUAAAGAAACAGAUUCAAAAUUGUAAAUCAUGCCGUUCGGAAGCGGAAGAAAACCGUCGAGAAAAGUGAAGUUUCAGUAAAUGAAGUUGGAAAAACAGUUUGUCAGCACUGUGAAAAUAUAAUAUCUUCUAAGAUUGAAAGAAUUCGAGCGCAUCUCAAAAAAUGUCAUAUACGGAACAUAUCAAUUUGUGAAGUAGAGAACGACGUAUCAAAUGAUAAUAAUGAGGAACUGUGGAAAUAAAAAUUUCCAAACAAAUGUUCUAAAAUUUGCGACCUGGAUAUAAAUCGCCGAAUCGGAAACAACAUGCAGGGCCUUUUCUGGCAAUCUUAUCGAUUGCCGAAGAAAUUGAUAAAAUUGUCAACGAUUUAAAAAAUGCAAAUGUAACUUGCAUAACUCUCCUGCUAGGUGGCUAGUCCAGCGUCCGAAAUGAUCCUAUAAUUGCACACAGUAUGUACUGAUACGCAAUCUUAUUUGUUUAAUGUCGUGAAUUGUGGAUCAGAGAAAAAAACAACGGAAACAUGCCGUGAAUUGGCACACAUUGCGAUUAAGGAAAUAAAAGAAAAAUAUAAGGUUGACGUAUUUGCCAUUUGUUCGGACAAUGAGAAUAAAAUAAAGGCAAAUUAAUGGAAAAUGAUUAUCCGCAUAUUUUAACAUAUAACUGCUCUGCUCAUUUUUUUAAAUCUAUAGAAAU